Long non-coding RNA from Lates calcarifer (barramundi perch), 1206 nucleotides. RefSeq lists it as uncharacterized. NCBI's taxonomy places the organism in Eukaryota, Metazoa, Chordata, Actinopteri, Centropomidae. The record is from RefSeq and is a predicted model, not a curated record. The transcript has 4 exons.
AUUGUCCGCGAUCACAGAGACGUAGUCCACGAUCACAGAGAGUACAAUGAAGAAGUUCUUUGAGACCAGAACAGAAGUCUCCAGGUGUCACCACUUCGUCCACGACAUGGUCCAUGAUCACAGAGACAUGGUCCACGAUCACAGAGACAUGGUCCAUGAUCGGAGAGACAUUGUUGAGGAUGAGGGAGACAUCGUCCACGAUCAGAGACAUUGUCCGUGAUCGCAGAGACCUUGUCAAAGACGAGAGAGACGUUGUCCUUGAUCAGAGACAUUGUCCCAUGCUUCGUAGAGACCUUGCGAUAGAAUCGGCGGAGACGGGGGUCACCGAUUUGACGGCACUGCCCGCGAUCAUGGAGACAUUGUUAAUGGUCACAGAGACAGCGUCUAUGAUCUCAGAGACAUCGUCCACGAUCACAAAGACACUGUCCAUGAUCACAGAGACUUUGUCCAUAAUCUCAGAGACAUUGUCCGCGAUCACAGAGACGUAGUCCACGAUCACAGAGAGUACAAUGAAGAAGUUCUUUGAGACCAGAACAGAAGUCUCCAGGUGUCACCACUUCGUCCACGACAUGGUCCACGAUCACAGAGACAUGGUCCACGAUCACAGAGACAUGGUCCAUGAUCGGAGAGACAUUGUUGAGGAUGAGGGAGACAUCGUCCACGAUCAGAGACAUUGUCCGUGAUCGCAGAGACCUUGUCAAAGACGAGAGAGACGUUGUCCUUGAUCAGAGACAUUGUCCCAUGCUUCGUAGAGACCUUGCGAUAGAAUCGGCGGAGACGGGGGUCACCGAUUUGACGGCACUGCCCGCGAUCAUGGAGACAUUGUUAAUGGUCACAGAGACAGCGUCUAUGAUCUCAGAGACAUCGUCCACGAUCACAAAGACACUGUCCAUGAUCACAGAGACUUUGUCCAUAAUCUCAGAGACAUUGUCCGCGAUCACAGAGACGUAGUCCACGAUCACAGAGUCUUUGAACAAUGAAGAAGUUCUUUGAGACCAGGACAAAGGCUUCCAGGUGUCACCACUUCAUCCACGACAUCGUCCACGAUCACAGAGACAUGGUCCAUGAUCGGAGAGACAUUGUUGAGGAUGAGGGAGACAUCGUCCACGAUCAGAGACAUUGUCCGUGAUCGCAGAGACCUUGUCAAAGACGAGAGAGACGUUGUCCUUGAUCAGAGACAUUGUCCCAUGCUUCGUAGAGACCUUG